Molecule: ribosomal RNA, 936 nt
Filed under: Alteromonadales bacterium
Lineage: Bacteria; Pseudomonadati; Pseudomonadota; Gammaproteobacteria; Alteromonadales
Description: bacterial SSU rRNA
Rfam family: Bacterial small subunit ribosomal RNA
Source: RNAcentral
GGAGCUCUCCCAUAUGGUCGACCUGCAGGCGGCCGCGAAUUCACUAGUGAUUGUUUGAUCCUGGCUCAGAUUGAACGCUGGCGGCAGGCUUAACACAUGCAAGUCGAACGGUAACAGAGAAUAGCUUGCUAUUCUGCUGACGAGUGGCGGACGGGUGAGUAAUGCUUGGGAAUUUGCCGAAAGGUGGGGGACAACAGUUGGAAACGACUGCUAAUACCGCAUAAUGUCUACGGACCAAAGGUGGCCUCUAUUUAUAUGCUAUCGCCUUUCGAUGAGCCCAAGUGGGAUUAGCUAGUUGGUAAGGUAAUGGCUUACCAAGGCGACGAUCCCUAGCUGGUCUUAGAGGAUGACCAGCCACACUGGAACUGAGACACGGUCCAGACUCCUACGGGAGGCAGCAGUGGGGAAUAUUGCACAAUGGGGGAAACCCUGAUGCAGCCAUGCCGCGUGCGUGAAGAAGGCUUUCGGGUUGUAAAGCACUUUCAGCGAGGAGGAAAGGGUGAUGGCUAAUAUCCAUCAUCUGUGACGUUACUCGCAGAAGAAGCACCGGCUAACUCCGUGCCAGCAGCCGCGGUAAUACGGAGGGUGCAAGCGUUAAUCGGAAUUACUGGGCGUAAAGCGCGCGUAGGUGGUUAAUUAAGUCAGAUGUGAAAGCCCAGGGCUCAACCUUGGAACUGCAUUUGAAACUGGUUGACUAGAGUUUUGUAGAGGGUGGUAGAAUUUCAGGUGUAGCGGUGAAAUGCGUAGAGAUCUGAAGGAAUACCAGUGGCGAAGGCGGCCACCUGGACAAAGACUGACACUGAGGCGCGAAGGCGUGGGGAGCAAACGGGAUUAGAUACCCCGGUAGUCCACGCAGUAAACGAUGUCUAUUAGAAGUUUGUGGCUAUAUGCCGUGGGUUUCAAAGCUAACGCAUUAAAUAGACCGCCUGGGGAGUA